Molecule: ribosomal RNA, 1853 nt
Filed under: Echinofabricia alata
Lineage: Eukaryota; Metazoa; Annelida; Polychaeta; Sabellida; Fabriciidae
Description: SSU rRNA
Rfam family: Eukaryotic small subunit ribosomal RNA
Source: RNAcentral
GCUUGUCUCAAGAUUAAGCCAUGCACGUGUCAGUACGGCCGUUCAUACGGCGAGACCGCAAAAGGCUCAUUAGAUCGAUCGUUGUUCCUUAGAGCGUACGUAACCACUUGGAUAACUGUGGUAAUUCUGGAGCUAAUACAUGCAUUUCGGUCGGCUUCUAGCUCGCGCUGGAAGCUGGCGAUUAUUAGAGCGAAACCGGCGGUCGGUGGCCUGCAAAGGCCCCGGCGUUUUACAGCCUGAUGAAUCUGAAUAACUGUGGCUGAUCGCAGUGGCGCCCACCCGGGCGUCGGCGACGUAUCUUUCAAGCGUUUGACCUAUCAAGUUUCGACGGUAGCCUCUUAGGCUACAGUGCUUUUCACGGGUGACGGAGAAUGAGGGUUCGAUGCCGGAGAGGGAGCCUGAGAAAUGGCUACCACCUCCAAGGAAGGCAGCAGGCGCGCAAAUUACCCACUCCCAGCACGGGGAGGUAGUGACGAAAAAUAACGAUACGGGAGCCUUACGUAGGCCUCGUAAUCGGAAUGAGUACAGCUUAAAUCCUUGAAAGCGAUGAUCUAUUGGAGGGCAAGUCUGGUGCCAGCAGCCGCGGUAAUUCCAGCUCCAAUAGCGUAUACUAACGCUAUUGUGGUUAAAAAGCUCGUAGUUGGAUGUGCGUACGAGCGUUGGCGUGAAAAAUUGGUGGUCGCGGCCUACACAGGCCGUCGUACUGCAUAAACGUGGCGAAUCGACGAUGUUUACUGUCGCACGACUCCGCGCCUCACGGCGUUGCGAGUAUACGUCCUACGUGCCCUUCACUGGCGUGCGUCAUGGACACGACGGUGGCUUUACUUUGAAAAAAUUAGAGUGCUCAGAGCAGGCGAUUCUUCGGCCGGCAUACGAAAGCAUGGAAUAAUAGAAUAUGACCGGCCGUCGCGCGUUUGCGUUCGGUUUGGCGACUGUCGCUGGUAAUGAUGAAUCGGGACGAACGGGGGCAUACGUAUUGCGACGCUAGAGGUGAAAUUCUUGGACCGUCGCAAGACGAACUGGUGCGAAGGCGUUUGCCAAGAACGUCUUCCUUGAUCAAGAGCGACAGUCAGAGGCUCGAAGACGAUCAGAUACCGUCGUAGUUCUGACCGUAAACGAUGUCGGCUGGGGAUGGGCGGGCGUUCGCAGUGAAUGACCCUGCCCGCACUCGAGAGAGCAAUCUGAAGCGUUCGGAUUCUAUGGAAAGUAUGGUUGCAAAAGCGAAAUUUAAAGGAAUUGACGGAAGGGCACCACCAGGAGUGGAGCCUGCGGCUUAAUUUGACUCAACACGGGGAAACUCACCCGGCCCGAACACCGUAAGGAUUGACAGAUUGAGAGCUCUUUCUCGAUUCGGUGGCUGGUGGUGCAUGGCCGUUCUUAGUUGGUGGAGUGAUUUGUCUGGUUGAUUCCGAUAACGAACGAGACUCUAGCCUGUUAACUAGCCCCAGCUCGGCGAUUUAGUCGUCUGGGCGUCUCGUUAUCGGCGAGCGCUUCUUAGAGGGACAAGCGCCUCGUAGGCGCACGAGAUUGAGCAAUAACAGGUCUGUGAUGCCCUUAGAUGUUCGGGGCCGCACGCGCGCUACACUGAAGGCGUGAGCGUGUGCACUUGGUAGACCCGGUCCGACAGGGCCGGGCAAUCCCUUGAAUUGCCUUCGUGCUUGGGACCGGGCCUUGCAAUUGUUGCCCGCGAACGAGGAAUUCCUAGUAAGCGCGCGUCAUCAGCUCGCGCUGACUACGUCCCUGCCCUUUGUACACACCGCCCGUCGCUACUACCGAUUGGAUGGUUUAGUGAGGCCCUCGGAUGGGCGUGUCGCUGGCUUUUGUCGGCGACAGGGUCUAAAAGACGGUCAAAC